GUGGGGAAUUUUGGACAAUGGGCGAAAGCCUGAUCCAGCAAUGCCGCGUGCAGGAUGAAGGCCCUCGGGUUGUAAACUGCUUUUGUACGAAACGAAAAGCCUGGGGCUAAUAUCCCCGGGUCAUGACGGUACCGUAAGAAUAAGCACCGGCUAACUACGUGCCAGCAGCCGCGGUAAUACGUAGGGUGCAAGCGUUAAUCGGAAUUACUGGGCGUAAAGCGUGCGCAGGCGGUUUUGUAAGACAGUGGUGAAAUCCCCGGGCUCAACCUGGGAACUGCCAUUGUGACUGCAAGGCUAGAGUGCGGCAGAGGGGGAUGGAAUUCCGCGUGUAGCAGUGAAAUGCGUAGAUAUGCGGAGGAACACCGAUGGCGAAGGCAAUCCCCUGGGCCUGCACUGACGCUCAUGCACGAAAGCGUGGGGAGCAAACAGGAUUAGAAACCCCUGUAGUCC
Molecule: ribosomal RNA, 450 nt
Filed under: uncultured bacterium
Lineage: Bacteria
Description: partial 16S ribosomal RNA
Rfam family: Bacterial small subunit ribosomal RNA
Source: RNAcentral